Mus pahari (shrew mouse) is the source of this 143-nucleotide small nucleolar RNA. RefSeq annotates it as small nucleolar RNA SNORA48. The record is from RefSeq and is a predicted model, not a curated record. NCBI's taxonomy places the organism in Eukaryota, Metazoa, Chordata, Mammalia, Rodentia, Muridae. The transcript has a single exon.
UUCCCUAGCAAUGGGCAAAGAGACACCUUGUUGAUGAUGUGGUUCUUGUAUCAGUCAGGGGCAGAGCAGACAGCAGUCCUUUGUCUAUCCUAACUUGAUUCCUGACUUUGUGGCCAAAGCUUUCUUAUGGCUAUGACUCAUAA